RNAcentral lists this ribosomal RNA (253 nucleotides) under uncultured bacterium. Its description in RNAcentral is "partial 16S ribosomal RNA". It matches the Rfam family "Bacterial small subunit ribosomal RNA", at positions 524 to 776 of the family's 1533-position model. The record is from RNAcentral.
UACGUAGGGUGCGAGCGUUGUCCGGAAUUAUUGGGCGUAAAGGGCUCGUAGGCGGUCUGUCACGUCGGGAGUGAAAACUCGGGGCUUAACUCCGAGCCUGCUUCUGAUACGGGCAGACUAGAGGUAUGCAGGGGAGAAUGGAAUUCCUGGUGUAGCGGUGAAAUGCGCAGAUAUCAGGAGGAACACCGGUGGCGAAGGCGGCAUCCUGGACCGGUACUGACGCUGAGGUGCGAAAGCGUGGGGAGCAAACAGG